GCGGGAGUGGCGAAAUUGGUAGACGCGCAGGACUUAGGAUCCUGUGCCGCAAGGCGUGUGGGUUCGAGUCCCACCUCUCGCA
Molecule: transfer RNA, 82 nt
Filed under: Gemmatimonadaceae bacterium
Lineage: Bacteria; Pseudomonadati; Gemmatimonadota; Gemmatimonadia; Gemmatimonadales; Gemmatimonadaceae
Also listed under: 1 other name
Description: tRNA-Leu
Rfam family: tRNA
About the family: Transfer RNA (tRNA) molecules are approximately 80 nucleotides in length. Their secondary structure includes four short double-helical elements and three loops (D, anti-codon, and T loops).
Source: RNAcentral